RNAcentral lists this long non-coding RNA (1379 nucleotides) under Taeniopygia guttata (zebra finch). Its description in RNAcentral is "lncRNA (ENSTGUG00000020310.1)". Lineage: Eukaryota; Metazoa; Chordata; Aves; Passeriformes; Estrildidae. The record is from RNAcentral.
GGGGGAGCCGCCCGGCCGUGAGGGGGAACCGCGCGGCCGUGAGGGGGAACGGCCCGGCCGUGAGGGGGAACCGCACGGCCGUGAGGGGGAACCGCGCGGCCGUGAGGGGGAACCGCCCGGCCGCGGCCCGCGGGCCCGGGAACGGGUGUGGGCACGGCACCGGGCACGGUCACAGCCACAGCCACAGCCCGCCGUGGUACAGCCCUGCCUUGAGCAACAACUCCUUGGUGUGAUUGAGUGCCAGUCACAGCUUUGGAAUAACAGAGACCUCGGGAAGCUGAGGUGCAGAAGUCACAUCUGUACCAACUUCUGCUUGCUUGCUGUGCACUCAGCAGAAAAGGACAGGAAUAAUCUUAAGCAGACAUUGAACACAGUUGGGACUGUUUGUGUUAUGGGACCAAUUCUUUGGCAUUUCUCUGCACUGAAUUUUGGAGAAUUCUGGUUACAGACCAGCAGUGUUUGAUAACAUAAAAUGUAAAUGCACAGAAAUCACCAGUGCUAACUCCAGAAUUGCUUAAUGGUACCUUUAAAGUAGUAUAUUUGUUGAGUUUUCCAUCUUCAGUUGUUCCAAUAAUAAACUACUGUAAGGUGGAGAAACGUGACCAGAGCAUAGGAGAACUCUGGGAUUAUUCACAGGCAGUACUUCCAUAAACCUUUCUCUAGGGAAGUACAUAUCAGACGUGUUCCCUUUUGACUUGUAACACUGUCUUUCAAAAUAGCAAAAUAUGGUAUGAUGAAUUAUAUAUUAUUAUUAUUAGAGAAUACAGACAGAAAAAAUAUAGAUCUAGUAAUCUCUUUCCUGUGAGGGGGACUACAUUCAGCAUUCCUGCCUCUGUUGUGGUUCAUAUCCCCCCUCUUGGGCCAGGCACAGUGUUACAUCAUGUUAUACUUGUAUUGCCACAGCAAUAAAGCACUUGGGAUAGACACUAGAGAGAAUCUGCUUUAUAAUCUGCAUCUCCUUCAAAGCCCUGUUGCCUGGUUUCUGAAAGGGCCUCAUCCCUCUAUGUAGGAUUUCUUUCCUUCUUUUAUAACCCUCUGAAUAUAACCCUAUAAGCUCCUCUGAAUAAAGGCUUCUUAGCUUUGCAGACACUAAGUAGACUCUUUGGUGGUAGGCUGAGUAUUGUAUUAUUAUUGCUGGACAUGACAUCAAAACAAAAAAAGGAAAAAAGAAAAAAAAAAAGGCAACAGGAAAAAUGACAUUUGAACCAGCGAUACGAUAAAAAAGACCUUCCUGAAAAGUAUUUUUGUCUAUUCUUUGCUAAACAAAUAAAAUCAUGCUUGAGGAUUCCAAGAUAUGCUUUUAAAGCAUUCUGUUUGAUGACUACCUUGGCUUUAUUGAUGAAAUUUAAUUUAUUGCAAAAUUAUAACUGACUCAAACC